UAGUCAUAUGCUUGUCUCAAAGAUUAAGCCAUGCAUGUCUAAGUAUAAGCAAUUAUACAGUGAAACUGCGAAUGGCUCAUUAAAUCAGUUAUAGUUUAUUUGAUGGUUACUUACUACAUGGAUAACUGUGGUAAUUCUAGAGCUAAUACAUGCUUAAAAGCCCCGACUUUUUGGAAGGGGUGUAUUUAUUAGAUUCAAACCAACAUUAUGUGGUGAUUCAUAAUAACUGAACGAAUCGCAUGCCCUUGCGGCGGCGAUGCUUCAUUCAAAUAUCUGC
RNAcentral lists this ribosomal RNA (277 nucleotides) under uncultured eukaryote. Its description in RNAcentral is "partial 18S ribosomal RNA". It matches the Rfam family "Eukaryotic small subunit ribosomal RNA", at positions 21 to 310 of the family's 1831-position model. The record is from RNAcentral.